AGCUUAUGCUCAAAUAAAUUGGUUAGUCUCUAAGGUGCCACAAGUACUCCUUUUCUUUUUGCGAAUACAGACUAACACGGCUGUGACUCUGAAAUCUAUGAACAUGUCUAACAACAUUCCCUCC
Molecule: long non-coding RNA, 124 nt
Organism: Chelonia mydas (Green sea turtle)
Lineage: Eukaryota; Metazoa; Chordata; Testudines; Cheloniidae
Exons: 3
Source: RefSeq, a predicted model, not a curated record